RNAcentral lists this long non-coding RNA (433 nucleotides) under Carassius auratus (goldfish). Its description in RNAcentral is "lncRNA (ENSCARG00000040808.1)". The record is from RNAcentral. Lineage: Eukaryota; Metazoa; Chordata; Actinopteri; Cypriniformes; Cyprinidae.
AGGUUUUAUGUCGGAGAGUGCAGCACUGUGGACGUCUGGUUCUGGCUCUAAGUUCUUAAUGGGAUCUGGAGCAAAGUUAAUUGUGCAGCCCAAGAAAGUAGAAGAUCCUGUCUAUUACAAAUUUGACAAUUCGUGUUUGGCGACCGACUUCACAAACUAUACUGCUGUGAAAUUCGUAAACGCUACACCAGUGCGAUAUGCAGAACGGAGUUACUACAGCAGCUUCACCUUUAAUCAUUCAGAAGAAUGCGAGGAGAAAGCCUGUCAGCAAGGAUCAUCCAGUGGAAAUAAUAAAUUUGAAUCAGGUAAGUGUGCUUUUAUUUGCACAUUUAUAGUCUGCUGUGCAUUUCAUUUCAUUUGCAGUCUAUUACUACUAGUCUUUUACUUGAACAGCAACAUCCAGCACUGUCAAACAUUGACUACACUCAAAUAG